This 347-nucleotide unclassified non-coding RNA is filed under the name soil metagenome. Its description in RNAcentral is "partial contains 5.8S ribosomal RNA, internal transcribed spacer 2, and large subunit ribosomal RNA". The stretch from base 1 to 120 matches the Rfam family "5.8S ribosomal RNA", at positions 35 to 154 of the family's 154-position model. The record is from RNAcentral.
GAUGAAGAACGUAGUAAAAUGCGAUAAGUAAUGUGAAUUGCAGAAUUCAGUGAAUCAUCGAAUCUUUGAACGCACAUUGCGCCCGCUGGUAUUCCGGCGGGCAUGCCUGUUCGAGCGUCAUUUCAACCCUCAAGCCCCCCGGGUUUGGUGUUGGGGAUCGGCUCUGCCUCACGGCGGUGCCGCCCCCGAAAUACAUUGGCGGUCUCGCUGCAGCCUCCAUUGCGUAGUAGCUAACACCUCGCAACUGGAACGCGGCGCGGCCAUGCCGUAAAACCCCAACUUCUGAAUGUUGACCUCGGAUCAGGUAGGAAUACCCGCUGAACUUAAGCAUAUCAAUAAGCGGAGGA